CCGGGCUCUCCAGCUCUCCACGCUGAUCUGCAGCCCCAUCCAGCUGAUCUUGCUGGGACCUGUGGGAAGUAAGGGCUUCUGACGUGUGGACGCUUGUACUCUGAUGCUCUGGAAAAAUACUUUUAAGUUGACCAUCCUAUCAGCUUCCCUUUGCGCUUAAAAUAUCCAGCAACCUUGCUGAAAGUAGCCUUUUUAAUCUGCUUCAAUGUCUCUUCCUUUUUCCUCAAGGAAAAAUGGACAAUACGGGUGAGGUGGACCUAAUGUAAUGCUGGAUGAUUAUAAAGGACCUAAACCUGUACAGUCACAGGCACACCAUUGACGCCACCACUCCCGGACAGAGGGACCAUUCGGUGGAAGUGUGGAGCGUGAACAAUUUCAGGAUUAGACAUCAAAACAUUUGCGAUGAUGCUUCUCAAUUGCCAAUUACAGCUGCUUGUACAACUCAGUUACCAAAAGCAUUGUGGUAUGCCUUGAUGAAUAAACACUUAUGACUAAUUGGAAAAUGUAUUUCUAGAGUACCAUGGUGCAGUCCUACAUAGCUCCUUUAUUACUGCGUCCUGGCAUCCUGCCCAUCAAGUGGAGCACACUUUCCUUUGAAUAGCGCUUAGAUGUGAUAGGCUGACUCUUUCUUCCCUCCACCCGCUUCAACAACGCAGCUGAUUAUUCAACCAUUUUCUCUACCCUUUGCUGCCUUCUGUGUGUUCUUUUUUUUUUUUUUUUUUUUGGUUUUUACCAUUCAAAAAAUCUGGCUGUUAGAAACUCCAAAAUUACUAAUUCUCUGAAAAUACGCCUUCAAACCUC
Molecule: long non-coding RNA, 801 nt
Filed under: Lynx pardinus (Iberian lynx)
Lineage: Eukaryota; Metazoa; Chordata; Mammalia; Carnivora; Felidae
Source: RNAcentral